AUUCCUCCUAUGUAGAGCCUUUGCUGUAAACCUAGCCCUUUGUAUAAAGUACCCAAAGUAUUUACACAUCUAAAUACCAACUUUAACGAGGGAAUAUUAAAACUCAGCCUGUGAGACGGUGGAACAAUGCUGAAAUCAACUGAAAGAGAGUCUUAAAGAAAACACCUGGAAUUAGUAGCAAGUUUUAUAAUCUUAAAAACAAACAAACAAAAAAGCCACUGAAGCACUUUGAAAAAUAGACCUCAUAUCCAAUCUACAUAGGGAACUCCAACAGCAGCAACACAGACUCCAAUUUCUAGGAGAUGGGGAAUACAAUGGGUUCAGUCUGAAUAUUCAGUCUAAUAUAUGAGAAAUCUUGGAGUCCUGAUAGCCUUAAUCCCUGCCACAGAAGCGUAUAAAAUUUCACAGCAAAGCUGCCAGAAAAGCCAAGACCACACCAGGAAAGCCGUCUGCUUACAAGAAGAUACCUGCCAGGUCUUGUCUGCCAAAGCCUGGACUAAUGAAUGAAUACACAAUAUCCCAAUCAAUCAAACUGGA
Long non-coding RNA from Lagopus muta (rock ptarmigan), 537 nucleotides. RefSeq lists it as uncharacterized. NCBI's taxonomy places the organism in Eukaryota, Metazoa, Chordata, Aves, Galliformes, Phasianidae. The transcript has 3 exons. The record is from RefSeq and is a predicted model, not a curated record.